RNAcentral lists this ribosomal RNA (450 nucleotides) under uncultured bacterium. Its description in RNAcentral is "partial 16S ribosomal RNA". It matches the Rfam family "Bacterial small subunit ribosomal RNA", at positions 354 to 796 of the family's 1533-position model. The record is from RNAcentral.
GUGGGGAAUAUUCCGCAAUGGACGAAAGUCUGACGGAGCAACGCCGCGUGAGUGAUGAAGGUUUUCGGACUGUAAAGCUCUGUUGUUUGGGACGAAAGUGCCUGUUGCGAACAGUUACGGGUAUUGACGGUACUAAACGAGGAAGCCACGGCUAACUACGUGCCAGCAGCCGCGGUAAUACGUAGGUGGCAAGCGUUGUCCGGAAUUAUUGGGCGUAAAGAGCAUGUAGGCGGAGAUUUAAGUCUGUUGUGAAAAUGCGGGGCUCAACCCCGUAUUGCGAUGGAAACUGAAUUUCUUGAGUGCAGGAGAGGAAAGGGGAAUUCCCAGUGUAGCGGUGAAAUGCGUAGAUAUUGGGAGGAACACCAGUGGCGAAGGCGCCUUUCUGGACUGUGUCUGACGCUGAGAUGCGAAAGCCAGGGUAGCGAACGGGAUUAGAAACCCCUGUAGUCC